UGGGGAAUAUUGGGCAAUGGGCGAAAGGCCUUACCCAGCAACGCCGCGUGAGGGAAGAAGGUUUUCGGAUUGUAAACCUCUGUCCUGGGGGACGAAGGAAGUGACGGUACCCCGGGAGGAAGCCCCGGCUAACUACGUGCC
Molecule: ribosomal RNA, 141 nt
Filed under: uncultured bacterium
Lineage: Bacteria
Description: partial 16S ribosomal RNA
Rfam family: Bacterial small subunit ribosomal RNA
Source: RNAcentral